This is a non-coding RNA of Pimephales promelas (fathead minnow), 749 nucleotides long. The record is from RefSeq and is a predicted model, not a curated record. NCBI's taxonomy places the organism in Eukaryota, Metazoa, Chordata, Actinopteri, Cypriniformes, Leuciscidae.
AUCAAUAGAUUGUUUUUGUAAAAAAGCCCAUGUUCAGUUUUUGUUCACUUAUUAUAAAGGCUGUGCAGCUGUCAUGUUGGUCAUUGAUUUGAAUAUGAGGGGGUGUGGUUUAAUCUGAGUUCGCGCGAAAGCAGAUCAUAUUUCUUCGGUUCGGAUCCUGAGGGAAAGUUUAGGUCCUGCAAUCUUACCUGUAAAGCAGUGAAAUAAGAUAGAUUAACAUCACUUUCUGCAGCGCCUUCACUUUGUGAACUGCAGAAUAGGAUAUUUGUGCUCUUGAUCGGCAGUGGACGAUAUUAAACUUUGCACUGAAGUUUCCAUGGUGACGAUUCCUGAAUGUGCGUCAUUGAAGAUUAACCACGUUUGAGAGUCAUACAUCAGCGAGAUAAAUAUUCAGUAACAUCUUAGAUUAUACACUGGAAUUUAUCGUCGCUGAGGAUUUACCAUACUUCAGGGCAUGAGACUGCAUCUCAACAUCAACGUCACAAAGCCUUUUGGACACUUUAAAGAACUGUAGAGACCACACGGACUGUUGCAAUCUUUGUUUCACUGCCUAAUCACAGGACCAACUGUCAUCUGUAUCCUUGAAUCUGUUGAAACAAUUCAUUGUUUAUUUCUGUUGAUUAUUUUGCGUAGGCCUACGUUUUAUUUGUACAUUUUCUUUACAUUUGAAUACCUUUUGAUGGUGAAUAUGUACACAGUGUAUUUUAUUGUUCAACAAUAUUCAGAGUAAAAGGUACAAUUUAGUUCAA